GCCUGGGUGAUCCUGACAUCCUUCCUCCCCAUAGGCACACCUGUCUUCCAUCACACUCAUCACUCAUGGCUGUGGCCCAGAGCCAAACACACCCAACCCACCAGCAUCCAGGCUCAGAGAAAUGCAGGGGGCUUGGCAUUGGAUGCCCAGCAGUGGCAGAGGGGCCGAAAGGACCAAGUGACCCACGCGAGUGAGCAGAGGAAGGAACUGGAGCCUCCCGAGGUGGCUGGAGCACCAGCCCAAUUUCCAGAAAGCUCACAGCACGCCGGGCUCCUUGGGGACCAAGAAGAUGAGGUGUGGAAGCUGCUGCCGGGUAACAGCCUUAGUCAUAAAAGUAACACUGUGAAAAAUCCAUUUUGUGGGUAACAAUGAGAAGUUAAUGCAAAGAGUCAUUGCCCUUCGUUAGUGACAACUUUGGCAGCGACUUUUCCAGGCUCCCGGGAAGCCUGUGGAGAAGGCUGCUUCAGCCCAGAGGCACUUCAUCAUUUAUAUGAAUGAAAAUGAGUGCAAACAGAUUGUCAGGACGUCUGCUCCCAUCACCUCUUUUUUCUUGCAAGGAAUCCCCUCCGUAAUUACAUUUUGCCUGUCAGUUCAUAAAUUUUUCUUAUUACAAACUGGCCAUUAUUGAUUGCUUUUUAAAAGUACUAAAACUGAGCCCAAAGCAGUAGAUCUCUUAGUAAAUUCAAAACAUACUAUCUUGGGUCCCAGUCACUGGUGGGGAGCGAGGGGGAGAGGCUCCGAGCUCAGCGCCGAUGCCGAGCAGAGGCCAGCCGCGCAUACGUUUUGGUUUAAAGAGCUGGCUUUAAGGGCUGCCUG
Molecule: long non-coding RNA, 816 nt
Filed under: Chinchilla lanigera (long-tailed chinchilla)
Lineage: Eukaryota; Metazoa; Chordata; Mammalia; Rodentia; Chinchillidae
Description: lncRNA (ENSCLAG00000024351.1)
Source: RNAcentral